GUGGGCUACGGGGACAUGGCGCCCGUGACGGUGGGGGGGAAGCUGGUGGGCUCGCUGUGCGCCAUCGCGGGGGUCCUCACCAUCUCGCUGCCCGUCCCCGUCAUCGUCUCCAAC
Molecule: non-coding RNA, 114 nt
Organism: Colinus virginianus (northern bobwhite)
Lineage: Eukaryota; Metazoa; Chordata; Aves; Galliformes; Odontophoridae
Source: Rfam